UCGACCUGAGCUUAGGCAAGAGC
This 23-nucleotide ribosomal RNA is filed under the name Mucidosphaerium pulchellum. Its description in RNAcentral is "partial 28S ribosomal RNA". The record is from RNAcentral. Lineage: Eukaryota; Viridiplantae; Chlorophyta; Trebouxiophyceae; Chlorellales; Chlorellaceae.